RNAcentral lists this long non-coding RNA (739 nucleotides) under Cricetulus griseus (Chinese hamster). RNAcentral's name for it is "lncRNA (ENSCGRG00015033747.1)". Lineage: Eukaryota; Metazoa; Chordata; Mammalia; Rodentia; Cricetidae. The record is from RNAcentral.
GGCGGGUGCGUGAACAGAUGGGUGGAAGCUGUGAGGGUUAGUGACAGAUCUGCGUAAGAGCACCCUGCGGGCCAUCGACGACCGCAGAGUCAAUCAAUUUCCGGUCGCGAGCCCGGCCCGGUAAUCGGCUUGCCGCUGAGAACCCUGGGAAAUGUAGUUAGGCACGAGCAGCUGCCGUUAGCUGCGGGUUUGCUGCCGGCACCGCGGCUCCUCGGCUGUUCGCGGCUCCGAUCGACUUCCCACGAGUUCCUGCUGUUCUUAUGCUCCACGCUCCCCAGUUUGAAACACACAAUACCUCCAAUGGAAACACGAUCUGCACCAUCAGCUUCAGACGUGUUCUUGGAGCCCUGACCAAAGAAUCUACCUCGAAUUGGGGACUUUGUGAGCGUUAACCCUGCGAGGAACGUCAAGCAGAGCGCUGGAGAAGCUUGUGGCCCCCAUGCCAAACAACGUCACAGCACGCUCAGGUACCCUCCGUUGGCUUCAAGAUCUUUUGGAGGGAAAACUAGGCCAUGUCGUUACUGGGAGAGACACUCCAAGCAGAUCAGAAGAGGGAAAAGCAAUCCAGCCUUCAAGAUAACACCAUGCGAGCCUGGAGAGAUGGCUCAGCAGUUAGAGCUCUCCCUGCUCUUACAGAGGACUGGAACUGGUUCCCAGCACCCACAUGGGGCAGCUGACAGCCACCUGAUGCCCUCUUCUGACUUUCUCAGACACUGGCACUCAUGUGUCCUGCCCAUCC